GCCAGCGUGGCGCAACUGGUAGCGCACCUCACUUGUAAUGAGGAUGUUGGGGGUUCAAGUCCUCUCGCUGGCUCCA
This 76-nucleotide transfer RNA is filed under the name bacterium. RNAcentral's name for it is "tRNA-Thr". It matches the Rfam family "tRNA". Rfam says of the family: Transfer RNA (tRNA) molecules are approximately 80 nucleotides in length. Their secondary structure includes four short double-helical elements and three loops (D, anti-codon, and T loops). Further hydrogen bonds mediate the characteristic L-shaped molecular structure. tRNAs have two regions of fundamental functional importance: the anti-codon, which is responsible for specific mRNA codon recognition, and the 3' end, to which the tRNAs corresponding amino acid is attached (by aminoacyl-tRNA synthetases). tRNAs cope with the degeneracy of the genetic code in two manners: having more than one tRNA (with a specific anti-codon) for a particular amino acid; and 'wobble' base-pairing, i.e. permitting non-standard base-pairing at the 3rd anti-codon position. The record is from RNAcentral. RNAcentral also lists the same sequence under 1 other name.